GGAUGAACGCUGGCGGCGUGCCUAAUACAUGCAAGUCGAGCGAACAGGCGAGGAGCUUGCUCCUCUGACGUUAGCGGCGGACGGGUGAGUAACACGUGGAUAACCUACCUAUAAGACUGGGAUAACUUCGGGAAACCGGAGCUAAUACCGGAUAAUAUAUUGAACCGCAUGGUUCAAUAGUGAAAGACGGUUUUGCUGUCACUUAUAGAUGGAUCCGCGCCGCAUUAGCUAGUUGGUAAGGUAACGGCUUACCAAGGCAACGAUGCGUAGCCGACCUGAGAGGGUGAUCGGCCACACUGGAACUGAGACACGGUCCAGACUCCUACGGGAGGCAGCAGUAGGGAAUCUUCCGCAAUGGGCGAAAGCCUGACGGAGCAACGCCGCGUGAGUGAUGAAGGUCUUCGGAUCGUAAAACUCUGUUAUUAGGGAAGAACAAAUGUGUAAGUAACUAUGCACGUCUUGACGGUACCUAAUCAGAAAGCCACGGCUAACUACGUG
RNAcentral lists this ribosomal RNA (498 nucleotides) under uncultured bacterium. RNAcentral's name for it is "partial 16S ribosomal RNA". It matches the Rfam family "Bacterial small subunit ribosomal RNA", at positions 27 to 507 of the family's 1533-position model. The record is from RNAcentral.